GGCGAUGUCCGAAUGGGGAAACCCAGUGCAAUUCGUUGCACUAUCGUUAACUGAAUACAUAGGUUAACGAGGCGAACCGGGGGAACUGAAACAUCUAAGUACCCCGAGGAAAAGAAAUCAACCGAGAUUCCCCCAGUAGCGGCGAGCGAACGGGGAGCAGCCCAGAGUCUGAAUCAGCUUGUGUGUUAGUGGAACGGUCUGGAAAGUCCGACGGUACAGGGUGAUAGUCCCGUACACCAAAAUGCACAGGUUGUGAACUCGAAGAGUAGGGCGGGACACGUGGUAUCCUGUCUGAAUAUGGGGGGACCAUCCUCCAAGGCUAAAUACUCCUGACUGACCGAUAGUGAACCAGUACCGUGAGGGAAAGGCGAAAAGAACCCCGGCGAGGGGAGUGAAAAAGAACCUGAAACCGUGUACGUACAAGCAGUGGGAGCACCUUCGGGUGUGACUGCGUACCUUUUGUAUAAUGGGUCAGCGACUUAUAUUCUGUAGCAAGGUUAACCGUAUAGGGGAGCCGCAGGGAAACCGAGUCUUAACUGGGCGUUAAGUUGCAGGGUAUAGACCCGAAACCCGGUGAUCUAGCCAUGGGCAGGUUGAAGGUUGGGUAACACUAACUGGAGGACCGAACCGACUAAUGUUGAAAAAUUAGCGGAUGACUUGUGGCUGGGGGUGAAAGGCCAAUCAAACCGGGAGAUAGCUGGUUCUCCCCGAAAGCUAUUUAGGUAGCGCCUCGUGAACUCAUCUUCGGGGGUAGAGCACUGUUUCGGCUAGGGGGUCAUCCCGACUUACCAACCCGAUGCAAACUACGAAUACCGAAGAAUGUUAUCACGGGAGACACACGGCGGGUGCUAACGUCCGUCGUGAAGAGGGAAACAACCCAGACCGCCAGCUAAGGUCCCAAAGUCAUGGUUAAGUGGGAAACGAUGUGGGAAGGCACAGACAGCCAGGAUGUUGGCUUAGAAGCAGCCAUCAUUUAAAGAAAGCGUAAUAGCUCACUGGUCGAGUCGGCCUGCGCGGAAGAUGUAACGGGGCUAAACCAUGCACCGAAGCUGCGGCAGCGACACUAUGUGUUGUUGGGUAGGGGAGCGUUCUGUAAGCCUGCGAAGGUGUGCUGUGAGGCAUGCUGGAGGUAUCAGAAGUGCGAAUGCUGACAUAAGUAACGAUAAAGCGGGUGAAAAGCCCGCUCGCCGGAAGACCAAGGGUUCCUGUCCAACGUUAAUCGGGGCAGGGUGAGUCGACCCCUAAGGCGAGGCCGAAAGGCGUAGUCGAUGGGAAACAGGUUAAUAUUCCUGUACUUGGUGUUACUGCGAAGGGGGGACGGAGAAGGCUAUGUUAGCCGGGCGACGGUUGUCCCGGUUUAAGCAUGUAGGCUGAUUGUCCAGGCAAAUCCGGAUAAUCAAGGCUGAGGUGUGAUGACGAGGCACUACGGUGCUGAAGUAACAAAUGCCCUGCUUCCAGGAAAAGCCUCUAAGCAUCAGGUAACAUCAAAUCGUACCCCAAACCGACACAGGUGGUCAGGUAGAGAAUACCAAGGCGCUUGAGAGAACUCGGGUGAAGGAACUAGGCAAAAUGGUGCCGUAACUUCGGGAGAAGGCACGCUGGUGUGUAGGUGAAGUCCCUGCGGAUGGAGCUGAGACCAGUCGAAGAUACCAGCUGGCUGCAACUGUUUAUUAAAAACACAGCACUGUGCAAACACGAAAGUGGACGUAUACGGUGUGACGCCUGCCCGGUGCCGGAAGGUUAAUUGAUGGGGUUAUCCGUAAGGAGAAGCUCUUGAUCGAAGCCCCGGUAAACGGCGGCCGUAACUAUAACGGUCCUAAGGUAGCGAAAUUCCUUGUCGGGUAAGUUCCGACCUGCACGAAUGGCGUAAUGAUGGCCAGGCUGUCUCCACCCGAGACUCAGUGAAAUUGAACUCGCUGUGAAGAUGCAGUGUACCCGCGGCAAGACGGAAAGACCCCGUGAACCUUUACUAUAGCUUGACACUGAACAUUGAGCCUUGAUGUGUAGGAUAGGUGGGAGGCUUUGAAGCGUGGACGCCAGUCUGCGUGGAGCCAACCUUGAAAUACCACCCUUUAAUGUUUGAUGUUCUAACGUUGGCCCCUGACCGGGGUUGCGGACAGUGUCUGGUGGGUAGUUUGACUGGGGCGGUCUCCUCCCAAAGCGUAACGGAGGAGCACGAAGGUUAGCUAAUCCUGGUCGGACAUCAGGAGGUUAGUGCAAUGGCAUAAGCUAGCUUGACUGCGAGCGUGACGGCGCGAGCAGGUGCGAAAGCAGGUCAUAGUGAUCCGGUGGUUCUGAAUGGAAGGGCCAUCGCUCAACGGAUAAAAGGUACUCCGGGGAUAACAGGCUGAUACCGCCCAAGAGUUCAUAUCGACGGCGGUGUUUGGCACCUCGAUGUCGGCUCAUCACAUCCUGGGGCUGAAGUAGGUCCCAAGGGUAUGGCUGUUCGCCAUUUAAAGUGGUACGCGAGCUGGGUUUAGAACGUCGUGAGACAGUUCGGUCCCUAUCUGCCGUGGGCGCUGGAGAAUUGAGGGGGGCUGCUCCUAGUACGAGAGGACCGGAGUGGACGCAUCACUGGUGUUCGGGUUGUCAUGCCAAUGGCACUGCCCGGUAGCUAAAUGCGGAAGAGAUAAGUGCUGAAAGCAUCUAAGCACGAAACUUGCCCCGAGAUGAGUUCUCCCUGAGACUUUAAGUCUCCUGAAGGAACGUUAAAGACGAUGACGUUGAUAGGCCGGGUGUGUAAGCGCAGCGAUGCGUUGAGCUAACCGGUACUAAUGAACCGUGAGGCUUAACCUU
This 2796-nucleotide ribosomal RNA is filed under the name Klebsiella pneumoniae. RNAcentral describes it as "bacterial LSU rRNA". It matches the Rfam family "Bacterial large subunit ribosomal RNA". The record is from RNAcentral. Lineage: Bacteria; Pseudomonadati; Pseudomonadota; Gammaproteobacteria; Enterobacterales; Enterobacteriaceae.